AGAAACUGGGCCAGGGCGGCACGCCGCGGCAGAAGCUGAGUGUCCCUCUCAUGUUCACUUCUGAUGAUAACUUAUUUAAAUUCAGGAGAUCGCAAUGGGCCAUCAAGACUAUGAUGGAUGACAAGACUGACAAUUCAGGCAACAACACUCCCCGUUUAGUGCAAUUCUAUCUUCUUGGAAGAAGCUAUCUUGCAAGCUAAAUAGACUAAGAAAAGGUGAUUGGGACAUACUGUCGGUCGGCCUUAUCAUUGCCAUCGUCAUAGACCAUCCGCACAUGUGUGCCAUGGGCCAGCAUUGAUUUGUUGAGGAGACUGACGAGGAGACCAAGCUGAGGAUAGGAGUUGUUGAUUGUAUGAUGGAGAAGGCACAUGAGGGAAUGGUGA
Molecule: long non-coding RNA, 383 nt
Organism: Lolium rigidum
Lineage: Eukaryota; Viridiplantae; Streptophyta; Magnoliopsida; Poales; Poaceae
Exons: 3
Source: RefSeq, a predicted model, not a curated record